Molecule: long non-coding RNA, 380 nt
Filed under: Fukomys damarensis (Damara mole-rat)
Lineage: Eukaryota; Metazoa; Chordata; Mammalia; Rodentia; Bathyergidae
Description: lncRNA (ENSFDAG00000021772.1)
Source: RNAcentral
GAGUGACUGUUCUAAAUGAUUCUAAUUCCUCCUUUGUUACGAUGUUCCAUAAAAGACAAUGUGUCAGGACAGAAAACUGAUCAAGGAUUGGCUCGGCUUAGGGUGUGGAAGGACUGACUCUGAGGAACCCACAUUUUAGAACGAUGCAAACGUUUCUCAUUCUGUCAGUGCUUGUAAUCUUCAUGACUAUGCACUUGUCAAAAUCAGGGGGAUCACAUUUCUUGAAUUUUAGAAAGCUGCACCUCUGCACAUGGAGCUGUCGUUGAUCACCUGUCCCUUGCAGUGACCUCCCACCUCCUCUCUCACUGGCCUUUCUGCUCUCCAAUUCCUCUCCACCCAACAGCCAGGUUAACCUGUUUACAAUCAGGUCACUGCAAAAG